Cercocebus atys (sooty mangabey) is the source of this 388-nucleotide long non-coding RNA. RefSeq lists it as uncharacterized. The record is from RefSeq and is a predicted model, not a curated record. Lineage: Eukaryota; Metazoa; Chordata; Mammalia; Primates; Cercopithecidae. The transcript is spliced from 3 exons.
CUGUGUGGAGCCCAGGCAAGAACGGCGUAACUGGUACAGAGGAGGCUUUGCGUUUUCAGGAACGCAGUGUCCCGUCUCCAGGAGCUCCGCAGAGUCUCAUCCAUCCCUGGGGAAGGAAGACACCCGGCUGCAAUCACGCACCCCGCAGCCGUCCAGAUCUCAGCUCGUGUCGUCACCCCUGAGGCUGGAACAGUCUCUGAAGAGGGGCUGCACAGUUCCACGGGGGAAACUGUGAAGGAAAACAUAGGCCUGGCCUGUCAGCGGGGGAGUCCCAGAAAACGCUCUGGUCAGUCGGCGCUUGAAGAUAAAACUCAGCCAUAGAAGGUGAUGACAGCAGCCACUGACGAUCAGCACUUAGACCCACUAAUUCAUUAGGAGCUACACAAUG